Molecule: non-coding RNA, 423 nt
Organism: Ictidomys tridecemlineatus (thirteen-lined ground squirrel)
Lineage: Eukaryota; Metazoa; Chordata; Mammalia; Rodentia; Sciuridae
Source: RefSeq, a predicted model, not a curated record
CUCUAGAACACUCCGGAAGGACCAGUCCAAUUGCGGCAAAGUCUGCUGCUAAGGCCACUGGGAGGUUCCCACAGAGCUGCCUGGAGUAACUGUGACCAUGGUCACUUUACAGACAAGGAAACGGAGGAGCAGUCAGGGAUUGUCACUUGGCCCCCAAGCCACAGAGAGCAGGGACAAGAGAAGACCCAGUGAGUCUGACUUCUCUGCACUGCCCUGGCUCUGGAGCCCGAGAAGGGAGGGCCAACUCCAGCGCCCAGGGACUGGGACCCAGGAGCCAGUCCUUCAUCUGCUGCUCCCUCAAAGGCAAACAACCAUCUACGUCUGACAAGUAAAACGCAGCACACCUCCCGCUGUUCGUGACAGCUGCUACACAGGAGAGGCUAAUUUUGGAAACAGAUUAUUAAAACAUAUAUCCACUCUGAA